Molecule: long non-coding RNA, 2078 nt
Organism: Homo sapiens (human)
Lineage: Eukaryota; Metazoa; Chordata; Mammalia; Primates; Hominidae
Exons: 3
Source: RefSeq, a predicted model, not a curated record
GCUGGGCGGGGCGGCCGGGCCGUGGUGCCCUCAGGACAAUGCCCUCCGCAGGGUCCCCCCCCGCCGGCCCCUCCCUGGGCAAGGGCGGAGCUCGUUCAGCAGGAACCCCGGUGCUGGGACCUGAGCCCAGGGCCACCUGCAUCGCGGCCCAACCUGUCUGGGGCCUCGUCCUCUCUCGUGUACACACAGGAGCUCCUGGCACCCCGGAGGGCAGCCCCCAACCCUGAAACACACAGCGGCAGCGGCCUGACCUCCCCGGCACUCUCUACGUCAUGUGUCUCAGAUGGGGACCUGUGAGUCCCGGAACCUGACUCACGGGUUUGUGUCCACUCCUGGGCCAGGUGGUGUGUCUCUCGGGACCAAGUGGAUGUUGAGAUACCAGCCGGACAGCUAUUAUACCAAUGCAGAAAGAAGGAAAUGGUGGCUUGGGUACUAGUGCCGGGGGACGGGGGAGAGGACAUGGUUGCUUGGGCCAAAGGAUGGUGCUGAAGUGGGGAGAAGGGGUCUGAUUCCAGGUAUGUUUUGAAGGUGAAGCCAACAAGAGUUGCUGACAGAUUCAGCGUGGGGAUGAGAGGAAAGGAGAGUCUGGGCUGAGCCCAGGGUCUCGCCUAACUAGCUAGAGGGAUGAGGCCACGCUGACCCAGUGGGGAGUGGGGAAGGGCAGUGCAGGGAGGACAAUGGGGAGUUUGUUCUGAGCAUGUCCUGGCUGAGAUGCCUGCUGGACUUCAAGCUCAAGAAACCUCUUGGAUUUAAAUCUAGAGUUGAGAGGAGAGGUUGUCCUUCAGGGGUCCAUAUGAAAGCUUCAGGUGCUUCCGAGGGAUCCUCUGGCAUGACAGGUCUGAGCCCGUCUUUCCCUCUCCGGCACUGCAGGGCUCCCGCAGUUCUGCUUAGAUUCCUAGCAGCCUCUGCUCAGCCCCUCUGCGCUCACCCUGUGCUGCUUGCAAACAGACACCCUGGACUGUUGGGAUCCUUUCCUCUCCCCGGGAUCUUGUCUCUCCAAGCCCUGGCUGUGUGAGCAGUCCUGCACUCUGAUUCUCGUCUUCCUGCUGGCACGACAGUGUUGAAAGCUCCUCUGAGCUUCUCGGAUUCUCAGCAGACCUCCCUGCUCAGCUUCUCAGCAUCUCUGCUCAUGCCAGUUAUGAGUUUGCGGUUGCCCCAAAGGGUGCAGAAGUUCGGGUCACCUCAACGCGUUUCCCUCCCCCACAAUGUCUUGGGCCUUCAGGUCCUGGCUGCCUUGGUAACUCUCUGACACAUUGAGACACAUGUGGUCAUUUGUUUUCUCCAACCUGGUUGAUGGAAGCCAAAAGUGGACUCCUUUUUAUUUUUUUGUUUUUUGACAGGGUCUUUCUCUUUUGCCCAGGCUGGAGUGCAGUGAUGCGGUCACAGCUCACUGCAGCCUCAACGUCCUGGGCUGAAGCCAUCCUGCCGCCUCAGCCUCUUGAGUAUCUGGGAGCACAGGUGUACACCACCAUGCCCGGUUAAUUUAUUUUUGUAGAGACGGUGUCUCGUCAUGUUGCCCAGCGUUCCGCCUAGGCCUCCCGAAGUGCUGGGAUUGCAGGUGUGAGCCACUGUGCCCAGCCUCCUCGUUUUUCUUACAGUUGUGUUUCACUUUAUGGAUCUAUUAUGAUUUAUAUAACAACCUCUUAUCAACGGGCUUUUAGGCCAUUGUAAAUAAUGCUGCAGUGAGUAAUUUCACACAUAGACGGCCUCACCUGUGCGCAAUGGUAUCUAUAGGAUAAGCAGAAUUGCCGGGCCAAAGGGCAGAUGCAUUUACAUUUUUAUUGAUGUUGCCAACUUCGUGGCCAUAAACGUUGUGCUAACUUGUCCUUUCAUCAGCUAUGUACGAGAGCGCCUGCUUCCCCACAAGUCUGUCAACAUUGAGGGUUGCCUGGCAUUUUGCUUUUUGCCAGUCUGACCCGUCAUAAAAUGGAACCUCCAUUUAGUUUCAAUUUGUGUUUCCUUGUUACCAGUGUGGUUGGGUGUCUUUCUAUGUGUUAAAAUGCCAGUUGCCGGCCGGCGCUGUGGCUCACGCCUGUAAUCCCAGCACUUUGGGAGGCCAAGACGGGUGGAUCACGAGG